Molecule: long non-coding RNA, 501 nt
Organism: Helianthus annuus (common sunflower)
Lineage: Eukaryota; Viridiplantae; Streptophyta; Magnoliopsida; Asterales; Asteraceae
Exons: 2
Source: RefSeq, a predicted model, not a curated record
AAUAAUAUAGAUCGCACAAGGGCCGCUGCGCCAAUUUAUGAGAACAUGUUUUUAGUGGGCCAACCCUAAUACUAGUGGUGGACGACUAAAAGGAGAGGUGGCUAUUUAUUGAUCGAAAUACAUCAGUUGAGGGGGUGACGCACGAAGAAAAGACAGGAGAUUGACGACUGUUUUUAGGCGACAAGAGGAGAAAGAAAAAAGAAUUGGUUAAGGGUUCAAGCCGUAAUCAAGAUUCAUGGAAUGAAGGAUUCUGGCACGGUAUGCUUCGUUUUCGCGCUGCGCUAAAGUUACGGGAUCAUCCACGUUUAGGGAUUGCGACUUUUUCCUGGACGAGUCGCAAGUCUUAAACGGUGUUUAUUUUAAAGUUUGUGGUUGUGUCUUAAGAACAAUGUUUUCAUUUGGUAGGUUGUAAUUUCCGUUGCAUGUGUCAACACUUUGAGACAAUGUUGUUACUUUUGUUGUUAAGACUUUAAUGGAUGAUUCUGCAUGGUUUUACUUUCA